This 88-nucleotide transfer RNA is filed under the name Gemmatimonadota bacterium. RNAcentral describes it as "tRNA-Ser". It matches the Rfam family "tRNA". From Rfam's summary of the family: Transfer RNA (tRNA) molecules are approximately 80 nucleotides in length. Their secondary structure includes four short double-helical elements and three loops (D, anti-codon, and T loops). Lineage: Bacteria; Pseudomonadati; Gemmatimonadota. RNAcentral also lists the same sequence under 1 other name. The record is from RNAcentral.
GGACGGGUGGCCGAGCGGACUAAGGCGCACGCCUGGAGAGCGUGUGGGCACCACCAGUGCCUCGUGGGUUCGAAUCCCACCCCGUCCG